This 867-nucleotide long non-coding RNA is filed under the name Musa acuminata (dwarf banana). Its description in RNAcentral is "long non-coding RNA (MACU_LNC004877)". Lineage: Eukaryota; Viridiplantae; Streptophyta; Magnoliopsida; Zingiberales; Musaceae. The record is from RNAcentral.
CAGGUACACACCCUGUCCAUCUUCUUCCUCCGUGGGAUUACCUGCAGUUGAGUCACACCAAAACCACCAGGAUUUUGCGUUGCUCCACUUGCUACUGCUCCUCGGGAAGCUCAAUUUUGAAGAUCGAGUUCUUCUAUGCACUUUGUUUUCAGUUCAUAAAUGCUAUCUGCACCCACAGAAAUUGAGUUUUCCCAUUGAAGAUUGUCCACUGAAUCUAGAUGUCUUCAUUUGAUCUAGUCAAGAAAUUUAGGCUGUUAUCAUCAAAAUUGUGAUUCACAUUUACAGUGAUCACCAAAACAGGUGGCUGCUGCAUCAGUGGGUGCAAUGAUGCAGCCACUUUGGUCUUCCCAAUUGCCUGCCCUACUGGUGAAGAAUACUAUAAGAAACAGGCCAGAAAAGUAUGGGAAUGAUGAGUCAUGACCUGUUCGUCAAUUGGACGACCUGUCAUUGCCCAAGUUUCAACCAUCAGUUCAUGUAAAAGAAAUUGUCCUCAAAAGUCUAAAAGUGGUGGCAGAGUGUGGAUUCUGCACAGGACUUCUUCAACAGAGACCGAAUGAUGUGAUUGCUUUGAGCUCUUCAACAAAAGGCAAACUUUGUUUUUCUUUUGUUAUAUAUGAAGAGAAAUCGAUUGGAAAAUUAGUCUAAAGAGGAGUUUUCAGAAAGGAAAUUAUAUAGCUUUACAAGCCAUAUGAAGCUUUUCAUAUGGAAUCAGGGGAUGAACUUUGUUUCCAUGAGAAUUUUGACUCUCGGAACAGAGCUUGUUUACGGAACAUUCUGUAAGACAUUGGUGUGAGCAUAUUAUUCCUCUAGUUUUGCGCUUGAUGAAAUUUUAUUCAUCAGCUUGAAAGCAUUUGUUUACUGCAGAAC